UUCGCAAUGCCCGAAAGGGUGACGAAGCGACGCCGCGUGUGGGAAGAAGGCCUUCGGGUUCGUAAACCACUGUUGGGAGUUAGGAAGUGUGGAGGUGUUAAUAGCGCUUUCACUUGACUAAAGCUCCAGAGGAAGCCACGGCUAACUCUGUGCCAGCAGCCGCGGUAAUACAGAGGCGGCAAGCGUUGUUCGGAAUUAUUGGGCGUAAAGAGCACGUAGGCGGCUCUGCAAGUCAGCUGUGAAAGCCUUCUGCCUAACGGAAGAACGGCAGUUGAAACUACAGGGCUUGAGUGCGGGAGGGGAGAGUGGAACUUCUGGUGGAGCGGUGAAAUGCGUAGAUAUCAGAAGGAACGCCGGCGGCGAAAGCGGCUCUCUGGUCCGUAACUGACGCUGAGUGUGCGAAAGCUAGGGGAGCAAACGGGAUUAGAUACCCCGGUAGUCCUAGCCGUAAACGAUGGGCACUAAGUAGAGGGGUU
RNAcentral lists this ribosomal RNA (476 nucleotides) under uncultured bacterium. Its description in RNAcentral is "bacterial SSU rRNA". It matches the Rfam family "Bacterial small subunit ribosomal RNA", at positions 365 to 830 of the family's 1533-position model. The record is from RNAcentral.